This 4638-nucleotide long non-coding RNA is filed under the name Setaria viridis. Its description in RNAcentral is "long non-coding RNA (SVIR_LNC005941)". Lineage: Eukaryota; Viridiplantae; Streptophyta; Magnoliopsida; Poales; Poaceae. The record is from RNAcentral.
GUCACCCCCACGGGCCUCGCGACUCCGCGCCCAUCCGCAUUCCGUCCUCCCGCAUGGCGCCGUCCGCCACCAGCUCCAUGGCCUCCGUCUCCCGGGCCCUCCGCCCGCGGCCCCGCGCCGCCGCCUGCUCGGCUCCUCGUCUGGGUACGCGCACGCUGAAUCCUGCUUGAAUCGAUUCCCUUUUUUCGUUUGUUUGAGGUGGCUUUGAUUUUACUUGGGGUGCGGUUCUGGGUGCAGGGUGCGGAUUGGGAAUCGCGUGCUCGAUGCCAAGUUUGGGAUUGGCCGUUGUGACUGCACCGUCUGCUACCGUCACUCCGGCUCUGAGGUAUGUGCGUGCUCCAGAGGUUAAUCAGGCCUUGGGAAUUGCUUUGGUUCAGGGAAUGGAUUGGCCGACCGUGAAGAUCAGGGUUUGUCUUUGUCAACGGAAAUGUGGUUUAGGGGUGUUGACUAGUCAAUUUUGCGCCAGUCUGAAGCAGAGUCCUGGACACCUGCAUCUCUUUAGGAAGACAGUAGCCCGUGCCCUUUAGGAGUUCUAAAGUUGAUCUUUCAAAAAAAAAAAGGAGUUCUAAAGUUGGACAAUGACUAGUUGCUACUGUUGGAUCUAGCUUUGCUCUCUCUGUCCCACUAGGCCGACUUUUUUUUUUGAAGCUUUAGGCCGACUUUGACUGGCCCAAAAGAUAUCAAAGGAUGACAGCUGUUUGAGGUCCCUACAAAGUCACUUACCAUCUUCUACUUUGAGGUGCAUAGAUUUAGUUCAGGAGUCUCAAAAGUUAAUAAGCAACAAACUUGUUGACGUAUGUUUCAUAGUGUUCAAGUCAACUUUAUCAAAAUCGAAGCUCACGAGUGAAAGGCGCAGGUGCAAAGCUAUAUUCAGAAGCAUACAAUAAGUCUAGCAGAUCAGAUGACUAGAUAAGUAGAGCAGUGCAAAAUAAUUUUUGUUGAGCAGUGCAAAAUAAUGAGAUUCUCUUGUCAUCUCAUUAUUUUGCACUGCUCAACUAGGCUAUUGGAUAAAGUUGUUAUGCAUGUCUAUAUUUUAAUUUGUCCAAUUUUUUUAUUUCAGGAGACGCCAAAUUUUGUGCCAGGCUGAAGCUAACAUAUCUAAUAAUCUUCCGGAGAAGUUGCCUGCUAAAGUUAGCCAGCCUGCUAAAGUUAGCCAGCCUGCUGAAGUUAGCCAGCCUGCUGAAGUUAGCCAGUACGAAAAAAUUGUCGAGCUGCUUACCACUCUUUUCCCUGUCUGGGUAUGUUAUACGAGAGCAUGUGAAGGUUUUGUUUUCCUUUGAACUAACAGGCAGUUAUAUAUGGUGGAUAUGGUACAGCUGUUUGUAAAUAUACUAAUACAGAGAUCACCUGUGGCAGGUUAUAAUAGGUACUUUUAUUGGGAUCUACAAGCCAGCUAUGGUAACAUUUCUCCCACUUUCAGUUGCCAUCGUUUUGGAAUCAACAGUUAACACCUUACCGUUUUGUUGGGGUUUCAUUGGACAAUCUGCAGGUUACCUGGUUGGACACCGAUCUUUUCACUAUCGGGUUAGGACUUCUAAUGCUAUCGAUGGGGCUAACAUUGACAUUUGAAGAUUUUAGGAGAUGCUUGAGGAAUCCAUGGACAGUAUGUUUCUGCACUUGAAACCUUUAUCGAUUAGAUUGUCUUUUCUGUAUCCAACAUCGAAUUGAUGUAUAGUUUAUUAUGUAUGUUCUGAUGGAAUUUCUUAUUUGCAGGUUGGUAUAGGAUUUCUUGCACAGUAUUGCGUCAAACCUCUGCUAGGACUCGCUAUUGCAACGGUAACUCUAUUAUGGCAAUAAAAUGCAUAUAACCAUUAUUGCAUUUCCAAUGUUUUGUCAUCAACUAGUAUGAAAUUUCACUGAUUUUAGGUUAAGAAAGUGUUGUGAUGGAUACAAUAUAUUCUGUUUCAUUGUUUUUUUGAAUCAUGGUUAUAUUGUCGUAUUGUUGGUUAAUUCAUGGUUAUAGUCUAAAGUUUUAUCAUUGUGUGUACAGUUGGCUUGCUUAAAUAAAUGAUCACUCCUUAUAAUGUGUUUUAUUUUCCUUCAUUUUAUAUUUAGAUAAACACUUUUAUUGCUGGAUAAAGCUUACAUCUAUUAACAGUAAGUGAACAAAACUACGAUCAUGUUUCUAUCUAGGAGAACGGUAUCUAAUAGUACUUGUUAUUUCCAGUCCAAUCAAUUACAAUCUGUUGUACCUUUGUUUUGAGUUGCUGUUAUGCUGGACUUUUUUUCUAUGAUAUACAAGCUUAUUUGAGAAUUUAAUAUAAGGUGAUUUGGUACUGCCCCAUUUUAAUCAUGUUAUAUUAAGUGAACAAUGUCAGUCCAUGUCUGCCACCAUUUUCAAUAGUUUGUUGAUUCUAAAAUAUAACCUUCUCUAUUUGGAUCUUCAAUUGGGUACAUUUAAGAUGAGAUGUCUAUUCAUUGCUAAAAAGUCAUUUGACCAUAGAAUUUCUUCUACAGCAUGAAAUUUGCACUAAAGUAUCUCUAGAAGCCAUUUCAUUUUAAUUCCUGCAUUUAUAAGCACAUAAUCUAGGUGCCUUGUAUUACAGACCUUGAAGUUACCCGCUCCUCUCGCAACUGGUCUUAUUUUGGUCUCAUGUUGCCCUGGUGGACAAGCAUCAAAUGUUGCAACUUACAUAUCGAAGGGAAAUGUUGCGCUUUCAGUUCUUAUGACCACGUAAGCUUGAUGUUGCUUGUUAAAAGAAAGUAUAUUGAUUUGGACACUGCAUGCCUGCUGUCAGUUACUGUCACUAGCUUUUUAAGUUAUUGAGUUCAUCUGAUGUCAGCUCUCUUUGUAACACCAUUUCCACAAAAUUAGUGUGAACAAUGGUUGCACUCCUAAACAGUUUGCUGUUGUCUUAAUCAAAAUUUGGAUUUAUUUUGAUUUAAUUGAGCCUUCCAUGUUGAAACUUUUGAAGUACGGAAAUGUCAGGUUUAGCUAGCUUCUAUGGGAUUUUGUACUUUGUCUAGUAUCAUAGCAGUGCAUUUUUUUUUUUGGUAGAAUUUGAUGAGCAGACCAUUUAACUGUUGCAUAUCCUAUUGUCAUGUUGUGCUACUUAAUUUUUAUGCUAUGUUGCUUCCUUCAGUCUACUGCUCUAUUGCACUCUAACAUUUUACUCCCUUCAUGUUUUAGCUGUUCAACUAUUGGUGCUAUAAUAAUGACACCCCUCCUGACUAAACUCCUUGCUGGUCAACUAGUUCCUGUUGAUGCAGCAGUAAGGGCACUACAAUCCUGUCCCUAUUUGUUUCCUUAAUCUUGUCUGCUUGAGUUAAAAGGUUAUUAUGUUUGUGCAGGGAUUGGCCAUCAGUACUUUCCAGGUUGUUUUAUUGCCGACUGUUCUUGGAGGUGCUUAAAAAACUUAAUGGGAGAUUAAUUUUAUUGGCUUUAGUAUCUUAGAAAUAUUUUCUCUUACAGCUUGUGUGACUAUAUUUUUGUCACUAUGCAGUAUUGGCCCACGAAUAUUUCCCCAAGUUUACUGAGCGCAUUAUCACCGUAGCACCCCUGUUCGGAGUCCUCCUCACCACUUUGCUUUGUGCGAGCCCUGUAAGUAUAACAAAGAACUUACUAGAGUAAGGUUCAAGCAUUUGCAGAACUGUUUGGUAAUAAUUCAAAAUCAUUUUUAUAUGUUUCAUGAAAUAACAAAUUCAAAUAUUGUUGGGAUACCCCAUUUUAACCUCACCAAGCAUGUGAUGUUUCUACUCACAGUCAAGUGUGCCUAAAUUUAUCUCUUAGCUAGUAAUUUGUAAUAGUUAUAUUCUAUUCUCUUAUCUUUUUGUAAAAGUUGCUCCUCACAAUUAUAUUUUGGAUAGUAUGAAUGAAAUGCUAAUUGUUUAUACUAAUUUUGAUUGGAAAAUCAACUUUUGCAAGAUUGGGCAAGUCGCAGAAGUGUUGAAAACUCAAGGUGCCCAACUUAUUAUCCCUGUCGCUCUGCUACAUGUUGCUGCAUUUGCUCUUGGGUACUGGUUAUCGAGAUUCUCUAGCUUUGGGGAAUCAACUUCUAGGACCAUCUCAAUUGAAUGUGGCAUGCAGGUAAAGAAAUGUUGAGAUGCUCAGGUUCAAUCUGUUCUUAUCUAGCCAUAGAAAUUUGUAGCACCGUUAUUGUUUUAAUUAUUCUUACUUUUGUUUGGGAUAUUAUUAGAAAAUGGUGGGCAAGUAAAUAAUAUAUUUGGUGAAUUAUUUGUGAGUUUCUGUGCUGGUGCAGUUUGUCAUGUAGUUCUUGCUUAGACAUCAAUAUUCUGUAAAAUUAUUUUGCUGCCUGGUCUCACAAACAUGUUAUCUAUGUCUAAUGGUUGGUGAUGUUAGACAGCCUCUUGAUGAAUCUGUUUAGUUUUUCACUACUAGUAACAUUAGAUGGUUUUUUGCUAUUGAUACUCUUCUCAGUGGAAUGAGUUUUGUUGGACUCUGAACCUUCCUGGUUUUACUAGUAGUUUAGUUCGCGAAGCAUCAAAACAUUCCUUAGCUAGAUGUCUGUACAGUUAUGAAGUUUCUUCUCUUGCCUAGAGCAAUGUGGAUUUUCAAUUUAGUGUUUAACAAUGCCACUUUUUUUUGUCAGAGUUCUGCGCUUGGAUUUUUACUUGCUCAAAAGCACUUCACAAAUCCGCUCGUUGCUGUUCCUUCUGCUGUCAGCGUUGUGGCCAUGG